This 74-nucleotide transfer RNA is filed under the name Anaerolineaceae bacterium. Its description in RNAcentral is "tRNA-Val". It matches the Rfam family "tRNA". From Rfam's summary of the family: Transfer RNA (tRNA) molecules are approximately 80 nucleotides in length. Their secondary structure includes four short double-helical elements and three loops (D, anti-codon, and T loops). The record is from RNAcentral. Lineage: Bacteria; Bacillati; Chloroflexota; Anaerolineae; Anaerolineales; Anaerolineaceae.
GGGCGGUUAGCUCAGUUGGUUAGAGCGCUUCCUUUACACGGAAGAGGCCGUAGGUUCGAGUCCUAUACCGCCCA